CAAUAGCGUAUAUUAAAGUUGUUGCGGUAAAAAAGCUCGUAGUUGGAUUUCUGUUGAGAGCGACCGGUCCAUACCAUGUAUGCGUAUCUGGCUUGCUCUCGGCAUCCUCUCGAUAGACGUUACUGCGCUUGAUUGCGUGGUGCGGAUCUCGGGACUUUUACUUUGAGGAAAUUAGAGUGUUCACGGCAGGCUUUCGCCAGAAUACAUUAGCAUGGAAUAAUACUAUAGGAUCUUGGUUCUAUUUUGUUGGUUUCUAGAAUUGAGAUAAUGAUUAAUAGGGACAAUUGGGGGCAUUCGUAUCAACACGUCAGAGGUGGAAUUCUUGGAUUGUGUUGCGACGAACUACUGCGAAAGCAUUUGCCAAGGAUGUUUUCAUUGAU
RNAcentral lists this ribosomal RNA (380 nucleotides) under uncultured eukaryote. RNAcentral's name for it is "partial 18S ribosomal RNA". It matches the Rfam family "Eukaryotic small subunit ribosomal RNA", at positions 592 to 977 of the family's 1831-position model. The record is from RNAcentral.